This 432-nucleotide ribosomal RNA is filed under the name uncultured bacterium. RNAcentral describes it as "bacterial SSU rRNA". It matches the Rfam family "Bacterial small subunit ribosomal RNA", at positions 28 to 507 of the family's 1533-position model. The record is from RNAcentral.
GAUGAACGCUGGCGGCGUACCUAAAAACAUGCAAGUCGUACACUUGUAAAAGUGUGGCGAACGGGUGAGUAACGCGUAGGAAUCUGCCCCAAUCCGGGAAAUACCCAGCCGAAAGGUUAGGCUAAUGUCCCAUGUGCUCGCAAGAGUAAAGCUCCGGCGGAUUGGGAAGAGCCUGCGUCCUAUCAGCUUGUUGGUGAGGUAAAGGCUUACCAAGGCUAUGACGGGUAGCUGGUCUGAGAGGAUGAUCAGCCACAAUGGGACUGAGACACGGCCCAUACACCUACGGGUGGCAGCAGUUGGGAAUCGUACGCAAUGGACGAAAGUCUGACGUCGUGACGCCGCGUGGAGGAUUAAGGCCCUCGGGGUUGUAAACUCCUUUUCUACAGGAAGAUUAUGACUGUACUGUAGGAAUAAGGACCUGCUAACUACGUG